GGGAGAGUGCAAAGAUAACAGAGCCAGACUCUUUUCAGAGGUACCCAGAGACAGGACAAGGGUCAAUGAACAUAAUCUUGAAUGCAGGAGAUUCUGUCUGAGCACCAGGAAGCAGUUUACUGUACCGUGAUGGAGCACUGGAACAGAUUGCCCAGAGAGGCAAUGGAGUCUUCUUCCUCAGAGACCUUCGAAAGGCACAGCUUCUCCAGCGUAUUUCCCUAAUGGAGAGUUUAGAAAAACCUGACCCCUAGUCAUACCGUGCCACUAAUGCUGCAGCUCCAAGCUUGUGGAACCUGAGGUGGAGCAAGCAAGUGCCAGUAAGGUUAAAGUAACUGAAGUGGCCAAAAGUGGCUAAAGUGACUCCUCAGCACCUGGACUGAAGCUACUUGGAAUCUCUUUUGCCAGCAGCACAAGCAGAGCCUGCUUGAGAGUAGCAGCACCUAAAAAAGUAAAGGACAGUAAAGAACUUGCAACCUAAUAUUCCUUUUGCAUAUUAAUUUUGAAGUAAAUUCCUUGGCCGUCUGUCUGAAAAGACGACUGAAACAACUUCUGUCACGUGGCACUGUAAGAAUUGCCACGAUCAGAUCUGAGCCUUCAAUUAGUUGUCACAUCACUGAUGUCAAAACUUGACAGAGCUGACUUUCACACAGUAUGAGUCUCAUAUUCUAUGUGGGAAUAUGAGCCUGUACACAUGUGCUUAGAUGCCUUCAUGAAGAAGACAGACUAACAAACACUGGUUGGUCUGUGGAGCUAAUUUGUGCUCUACAUGAGACUUCUUGAUAGAGGAUGUGUAGCUGUGGCUUCCAUAAGCAUGGGUGAAGGGAUCAUUUUAGCUUAUGUUUUACGUUCCUAUUCCUCACUCAGAGCAGAAGGCCCCUGAGCAAACAGUGGUUAUGCAAGAAGAAAGAGGUUGGUCAGGGGCUGUUUUCUGGGUGAAGUAUGACUUGCUUCUCAUUCUUAGGUAUUAAAAGUUCCUCAAAUGAAUAGGAUGUUGCUCAGUUCUCUUUCACCAAAAUUCAGUGACAAAUUUUACCUUGGAGUAUUUGUGCUUAUUUUUUUCAGUGGGCCAUCAAAAGUUUCUGAGAAAUAAAAUUGAGAGAAGGUGGUCCUUAAAGCAACAGAAAAGCAGGCACAGUUCCCCUAUGAUCUUCAUGUUCCUGCUGCCUCCAUCCCCAAAUAUCAAAGAUCUGGUGGAAAAAAAGUUGUGAUAAGCAUUUCUCAGAGAAGAAGAUGCAGAAAUGUUUUGUAAGAGUAGUGGAUCUGCAACAAGCCCUGCGCAACUGUAACUAAUUUUUGAAACAAUUCCAGGAAGAUUACUGCAAUAGCUAAAUAAAAAGAAAAGGAGACCUUGAAAACUAACAGUUUUUCUAAUAAAUUAUUUUAAAGAUGUCCUGGUGCAAUUGUGCUAAGGACUCUUCAGCUGUCUGUAUGGAUGCCGAGUCAUUCUGAUGUCAAAUGCCUGAAGCCUGCAGGAAAUUGCAGGUUUGUUGUUGCUGAGUCACAGUGGUAUGUACAUCACAUUAACAUCAGCUGGCACACAGGAAGGACAGAUACACACCUCUCACUCCCCAUAGAAGAUGCCCAUGAGAAUAACACUAGGGACAUCCUCAGAGCAUGUUUGUUCCUUGGUUGUUUCCUGCACCUCUAAUUAAAGCACUGUGUUAGGCUGAGGAUAAAUGAAUAUUCCAUAGGAUGGGUCAAUAAUGACUUUUCAAGGUAUUCUGAUAUUUGUAUUAAAAGAACAUUUUACUGCUGCAGUAAAGAAAAGUAUAUAAGCAAGUCAGAACUCUGUUACCCAUGGUACUAGCAGCACUUAUUAUGCACCACUGACAACAGCCUCCAUUCCCAUUAUACAAUACUGUUUUUAGUUUUUCCACCUUCUUUUCAAAAGCUGAGUUUAAGCCAAAACUUUUCAUACUCUACCCGUGCCCCUGGCUGAAUUCCUUAAUAUUUCAGCCAAAUAACUCAGCCCCUUCAGUGAAUGAGCCUAGAAACAAAGUGCCAUUUUGCUCCUGUUAAUACUUGGAGGUCUUUGAAAUGCCCCAGCAUCACCCUACUUUGAAGAAGAGAUUUUAAGUUAGCAGAGGGAUAGUGCUCUUGUCAAGAAUAAACCUUCCACCAGGCCUGUGAAAAACAUCUCCAGUGUUUUCAAAAUCUUGCUGAAUGGGUCAACUGCAAUUCACGCAGAUUCAGGAGAGUUGGGAGAAAGCUGAUAUCUCAGACUUCUUACCCUUCCCUUCACUGACCAGAUGUACAACUGCUUUUCCCAUGGGGUUGCUUCAGUCAAUAACUUUAGGGGAACAUAAAAAAAAAAAAAAAAAACCAGUUUCAGAAUCAUAGAAUCACAGGACUGCUGAGGUUGACAGGGACCUCAGAAUCCAUCUGGCCCAACUCCUGCUCAAGCAGAUACACCUAGAGUGGGGUGCCCAAGGCUGCCCUGACACAUAAUGUCAUUGGCGCUCAUUUU
Gallus gallus (chicken) is the source of this 2467-nucleotide long non-coding RNA. RefSeq lists it as uncharacterized. The record is from RefSeq and is a predicted model, not a curated record. NCBI's taxonomy places the organism in Eukaryota, Metazoa, Chordata, Aves, Galliformes, Phasianidae. The transcript has 3 exons.